This is a long non-coding RNA of Scylla paramamosain (green mud crab), 1455 nucleotides long. RefSeq lists it as uncharacterized. The transcript is spliced from 3 exons. Lineage: Eukaryota; Metazoa; Arthropoda; Malacostraca; Decapoda; Portunidae. The record is from RefSeq and is a predicted model, not a curated record.
CCUGCAAACAUUCGGACUCGCUUACCCUCACGUAUCACCUGACACGAGUUUAUCUCGCCCAUUUGCCUCUCUCAUAUGAAGACCUGAGAGAGAGAGAGAGAGAGAGAGAGAGAGAGAGAGAGAGAGAGAGACCGGCAAAAUUGCGAGUAUUGUGGUGAUUACAGCAAGAAAACAAGAUAAGAAUGCUACUAAUAAUACUGUAAGCAGCACGACUUCAACUCUACACGAAAGUAGCCCAGGAUACAAAAAGGCAUCACUUCCCGGACACAGUUGUGGAGCUGUGGCAAUUGGAGCGGCACAAAAUCGUCAGCAGGCGUGCGGCGAAAGUAACCACAUGGGCGUUCCUGUGACAGUUGCAGCCAACGCCUCUAGCCUGCGCUUCCCUCCACUAGUCCCCGUGACUGCUGGUCGGUGCUUCAGAUACGCGUAAUCACACUUCACUCUCCACACACACCGUCCCACGCACCAUAAUGCCGGGUCAGCUGACUACGAGUAAAUGACUGAGGAGUGCUCACCUAUCGUCUUGGUGAAGAAGUAGCCCCAGAAGAAGGUGCCCAGGAUGAUCCCUUGCUCCUUCACCGUCCACGCGAAGUCACCCGCGCCCUGAAGUGUGGCCAAGCAUCAAUCAAAUCAACUACUACUACUACUACUACUACUACUACUACUACUACGGCAACAACAACAAUUACCACUACUCCUACCACUGACCACUGGGUAACUAUCGGAUCCAUUGAUGGCCGCGGGACAGGCGUGGUCGGGCGUGAAGUUCUGGCUGGCGGGGCGAGUGGAGUUGGUCAUGGCGAUGAUAGCAACGCUGAGGCCGAAUCUCAUGAGAUAGUCCAGCAUGCAACCCAGCAGACCCAGCACCACCACCACGUAGCGGAUGGGCACCCAGCAGACCCAUCGCUCCCCUGCCGAUUUAAACAUUAAGAUUAGCAAGACUUACUAUGACUCCUUUCAAGAGGGAAGCUUCAAGACUUUUCGCCAGUUUUAGAUCAUUGUUUUCACUUCCCUUUAAUGAUUGAUACCUCAGUGGGCUUUUCCUUACUCUUUCUGUUCAAUCUUUUAGCCGGGGCCCUUCUUAAUUUGAAAAUAAGGAAAAUGCUUCUUCUUUUGGCCGUUCCCUUUUAGGAAUCGCCACAGAGGAUAAAUCAUCUUUAUUGCGCUGGGUCUUCUACGCCUUUCUCAUGUUUUUAUUUAUUUAUCUAUUUAUUUAUUUAUAUUGCACCCAUAAACCUUCUUUCUUCAGGACUUCCUCUAGGUCGGGUUCCUGCCAGGUAGAUCCAUCUCCAGCAUCCUCCUCCCCGUACACCCCUCCUCUCUCCUUUUGACAUCCCCGAACCAAAGGAGACAAGCCUGUGUGUGUGUGUGUGUGUGUGUGUGUGUGUGUGUGUGUGUGUGUGUGUGUGUGUGUGUGUGUGUCCUCGUCAGACUAUUAUCAUCAGUUCAGUCCUC